Long non-coding RNA from Etheostoma spectabile (orangethroat darter), 233 nucleotides. RefSeq lists it as uncharacterized. The transcript has 4 exons. The record is from RefSeq and is a predicted model, not a curated record. Lineage: Eukaryota; Metazoa; Chordata; Actinopteri; Perciformes; Percidae.
AUUGACGUUACUUUGGCAACAGGUGGCGCAGUUAGCUAUAGGGUCGCAUUCUCAAAGAAAGCAACUCCAAACUCGUGUUGUUGUCAUGUUGCGAUUUCUGUUGGGUCAGACCCAUCUGCUAGCCAUGGGGGGCAGAGACUGAGAGCUACAGGGAAAAGUAUGCACCAAACAAGCCACUUUGAAAUUUAGCUGUUUUCAUGAAUACAAACGUUGGAUGAAGUGAAUGUAAUAAU